GCCCAAGGAUGGGUCUGCGGCCUAUCAGGUAGUAGUGGGUGUAAUGUACCUACUAGCCAACGACGGGUACGGGUUGUGAGAGCAAGAGCCCGGAGAUGGAUUCUGAGACACGAAUCCAGGUCCUACGGGGCGCAGCAGGCGCGAAAACUUUACACUGCGCGAAAGCGCGAUAAGGGGACCUCGAGUGCGUGCGCAAAGCGUACGCUUUUCAGAUGCCUAAAAAGCAUCUGGAAUAAGGGCCGGGCAAGACCGGUGCCAGCCGCCGCGGUAACACCGGCGGCUCAAGUGGUGGCCGCUAUUAUUGGGCUUAAAGGGUCCGUAGCCGGACCAGUUAGUCCCUUGGGAAAUCUUACGGCUUAACCGUAAGGCUGCCAAUGGAUACUGCUGGUCUUGGGACCGGGAGAGGCAAGAGGUACCUCAGGGGUAGGAGUGAAAUCCUGUAAUCCUUGAGGGACCGCCAGUGGCGAAGGCGUCUUGCUAGAACGGGUCCGACGGUGAGGGACGAAAGCUAGGGGCACGAACCGGAUUAGAUACCCGGGUAGUCCUAGCCGUAAACGAUGCGAGCUAGGUGUCACGUGGAUUGCGAAUCCAUGUGGUGCCGAAGGGAAACCGUGAAGCUCGCCGCCUGGGAAGUACGGCCGCAAGGCUGAAACUUAAAGGAAUUGGCGGGGGAGCAC
Molecule: ribosomal RNA, 677 nt
Filed under: uncultured euryarchaeote
Lineage: Archaea; Methanobacteriati; Methanobacteriota
Description: bacterial SSU rRNA
Rfam family: Archaeal small subunit ribosomal RNA
Source: RNAcentral